GUCACACCAUGGAAGUCUGCAAUGCCCGAAGCCGGUGGCCUAACCACUUAUGUGGAAGGAGCCGUCUAAGGCAGGGCAGAUGACUGGGGUGAAGUCGUAACAAGGUAAC
RNAcentral lists this ribosomal RNA (109 nucleotides) under uncultured bacterium. RNAcentral describes it as "partial 16S ribosomal RNA". It matches the Rfam family "Bacterial small subunit ribosomal RNA", at positions 1396 to 1500 of the family's 1533-position model. The record is from RNAcentral.